Molecule: ribosomal RNA, 168 nt
Filed under: Labroides bicolor (bicolor cleaner wrasse)
Lineage: Eukaryota; Metazoa; Chordata; Actinopteri; Labriformes; Labridae
Description: partial small subunit ribosomal RNA
Source: RNAcentral
CACCGCGGUUAUACGAGAGACCUAAGUUGAUAGCCUUCGGCGUAAAGAGUGGUUAAGACAAGUUUAAAACUAAAGCCAAAUGACUUCAAAGCUGUUAUACGCACAUGAAAGUACGAAGCCCAAUCACGAAAGUGGCUUUAAUAUUCUGACUCCACGAAAGCUAUGACA